This 468-nucleotide ribosomal RNA is filed under the name Conobregma sp. BJS-2011. Its description in RNAcentral is "eukaryotic LSU rRNA". It matches the Rfam family "Eukaryotic large subunit ribosomal RNA", at positions 707 to 1129 of the family's 3401-position model. The record is from RNAcentral. Lineage: Eukaryota; Metazoa; Arthropoda; Insecta; Hymenoptera; Braconidae.
CCUAAAGGCAUAAUGAAAGUAAAAGUCAUACUUGUGUUGACUGAGGGAGGAUAAAUUAUAUUAAGAUAUAAUUUCGCACUCCCAGGGCGUUUCAUUCUUAUUAUAAGAAGAAGCGCACCUAGAGCGUACACGUUGGGACCCGAAAGAUGGUGAACUAUGCCUGGUCAGGAUGAAGUCAGGGGAAACCCUGAUGGAGGUCCGUAGCGAUUCUGACGUGCAAAUCGAUCGUCGGAACUGGGUAUAGGGGCGAAAGACUAAUCGAACCAUCUAGUAGCUGGUUCCCUCCGAAGUUUCUCUUAGGAUAGCUGGCACUCAUGUUUAUUAAUACGAGUCUCAUCUGGUAAAGCGAAUGAUUAGAGGCAUUGGGGCCGAAACGACCUCAACCUAUUCUCAAACUUUAAAUGGGUGAGAUCUCUGGCUUGCUUAAAUUAAUGAAGCCAUGAGAUUUCGGAUCAGAGUGCCAAGUGG